AGAGUUUGAUCAUGGCUCAGAUUGAACGCUGGCGGCAGGCCUAACACAUGCAAGUCGAGCGCGAAAGGCUUUCGGGCUGAGUAGAGCGGCGGACGGGUGAGUAACGCGUAGGAAUCUACCUGGUAGUGGGGGACAACUUGGGGAAACUCAAGCUAAUACCGCAUACGCCCUAAGGGGGAAAGCGGGGGACCUUCGGCCUCGCGCUAUCAGAUGAGCCUGCGUAGGAUUAGCUAGUUGGUGAGGUAAAGGCUCACCAAGGCGACGAUCCUUAGCUGGUCUGAGAGGAUGAUCAGCCACACUGGGACUGAGACACGGCCCAGACUCCUACGGGAGGCAGCAGUGGGGAAUAUUGCGCAAUGGGGGCAACCCUGACGCAGCCAUGCCGCGUGUGUGAAGAAGGCCUUCGGGUUGUAAAGCACUUUAAGUGGGGAAGAAAAGUUGGUCGUUAAUAGCGGCCAGCCCUGACAUUACCCACAGAAUAAGCACCGGCUAACUCCGUGCCAGCAGCCGCGGUAAUACGGAGGGUGCGAGCGUUAAUCGGAAUUACUGGGCGUAAAGCGCGCGUAGGCGGUUUGUUAAGUCAGCUGUGAAAGCCCCGGGCUCAACCUGGGAACUGCAGUUGAUACUGGCCGACUGGAGUACGAGAGAGGGAGGUAGAAUUCCAUGUGUAGCGGUGAAAUGCGUAGAUAUAUGGAGGAACACCGGUGGCGAAGGCGGCCUCCUGGCUCGAUACUGACGCUGAGGUGCGAAAGCGUGGGGAUCAAACAGGAUUAGAUACCCUAGUAGUCC
This 789-nucleotide ribosomal RNA is filed under the name uncultured bacterium. RNAcentral's name for it is "bacterial SSU rRNA". It matches the Rfam family "Bacterial small subunit ribosomal RNA", at positions 8 to 796 of the family's 1533-position model. The record is from RNAcentral.